Molecule: transfer RNA, 41 nt
Filed under: Dicranum scoparium
Lineage: Eukaryota; Viridiplantae; Streptophyta; Bryopsida; Dicranales; Dicranaceae
Description: partial tRNA-His
Source: RNAcentral
GGCGGACGUGGCCAAGUGGAUUAAGGCAGUAAGAGCUUCAA